CCGCCGAGCUGGGCGGGAGCUGUUGGCGGUGGGUCUGAAGGUGAUGGCCUUGACUGAAGGCCUCGAGUCGGCGUCUCCCGCUGUUUCUGCAGUCGCUGCCCGGGACUCGGUGCGCUCAUCGUCAUGAGAGGAGACAGAGUCCUGAAGCCAAGAAAUCUGGAUCACAGAAAAAGUAUUCAGGGGUCAUGCAAGCCAACUGUAGCCAACCGCACAGCCCUUCAGGAGCUGCAGGCAGUGAGGAUGCCUCAGCCUCCCAGUGUGUCCAAACAAGAUUGACAGGAGAAGCUUCCUGUCUUUAUUCUGGAGAUGUUCAUAGUCAGAUAAACUCCAUGCCUAAAGAAUGUGCUGAAAAUCCAAGCUCCAGAAAUAUAAGGUCAGGUGUCCACAGCUGUACCCAUGGAUGUGUACACAGUCGCUUACGGAGUCACUCCCACAGUGAAGCAAGGCAACCUGAUGAGACCGAGACGGAGUCUAGAGAUCAUGGUAGUAGCUCCUUCUCAGAAUUCCGAUAUCUCUUCAAGUGGUUGCAAAAAAGUCUUCCAUAUAUUUUGAUUCUGGGUGUCAAACUUGUUAUGCAGCAUAUAACAGGAAUUUCUCUUGGAAUUGGGCUGCUUACAACUUUUAUAUAUGCAAACAAAAGCAUUGUAAAUCAGGUUUUUCUAAGAGAAAGGUGCUCAAAGAUUCAGUGUGCUUGGUUACUGGUAUUCUUAGCAGGAUCUUCUGUUCUUUUAUAUUACACCUUUCAUUCUCAGUCACUUUAUUACAGCUUAAUUUUUUUAAAUCCUACUUUGGACUAUUCGAGCUUCUGGGACGUACUUUGGAUUGUUGGAAUUACAGACUUCAUUCUGAAAUUCCUCUUCAUGGGCUUAAAAUGCCUUAUUUUAUUGAUGCCUUCUUUCAUCAUGCCUCUUAAAUCCAAGGGUUAUUGGUAUAUGGUUUUAGAAGAAUUAUGUCAGUAUUACCGAACUUUUGUCCCCGUACCAGUUUGGUUUCGUUACCUUAUAAGCUAUGGGGAGUUUGGUAAUGUAACUAGAUGGAGUCUUGGGAUACUGCUGGCUUUACUCUACCUCAUACUAAAACUUCUGAACUUUUUUGGACAUCUGAGAACUUUCAGACGGGUUUUGCAAAUAUUUUUUACACGACCAAGUUACGGAGUGGCUGCCAGCAAGAGACAGUGUUCAGGUGUGGAUGAUAUUUGUUCAGUAUGUCAAGCUGAAUUUCAAAAGCCAAUUCUUCUCAUCUGUCAGGCUCUUGUGAAAUCUGUUUUUCAGAAAACUCAAGUGUGUUUGCAGAAAAUAGAUAACCUGUGAUCUUGAAAUGCUAUGGAGUACCACAAAUUCCUAGGAGGGGGUAAGCCCUGGAAAAGGCUCUUAACAAGAAAGCAGAACCAACAGAAGGAGUCUCUAGCCCACAGGAGCCCAAAGUCCCAGGGAAGAGAGAUAAGUCAAUGGAGCUAAGCACAAGGUGCCAUGGGAACUACAUCUGACCUGGCAAGAAGUCUUCCUGGAGGUGGAGAUACCUAAGCUGUAUCAUAAAAAGUUAUUACGAUGAAAUGUAGAGGGUUUAAAAAAAAAAAAAAAAAAAGCAUUCCCAGUGCAAAAGAGGCUUGACAGGACGGGACAUGUCUUAAGGAUCUAAAAGUAGUUCAGUAUGGUUAGAAGUGGUUAGGACAUGUAUUAGGCUGGACAUAUAGGAAAUGGAAGGCCUGGGCAUCUAGGCAAAGGCAUUUGAAUCUUAUUUUAGAGGCAGAGGAGAAAUGCUGAGGUAAGAUAAAUGAAUAGCCUUUGGCUUUAAGAAAGACCGUUCUAGUUGCAGUGUGAAGUAUUAGGGAAGAAAUGACACCAGUCAGAAGGCUAGUAAACUAAGCAAGAAGUAAAACCUGUAACUAAGAAAACGAAGGUGGGGGAAAAAAGGGUAAAAGUGCAUCAUUAGCACUCGCUGACUAAUGAGAUAUGAGAAGAAAUGAUGAUACCAUGGUUUCUGUGUAAGUAAUGGUGUCAUUCAAUAACAGGGAAUGGAAACAAAGAAAAAAGUUUUGGGAAAUGAUAUAUUGCUUUGGACAUGCUAAGUCUUAAAUUCUAAGUUCUUGUACACCUCUAGUAACAUGAAAAAGCAUAUAUACGUGGCCAUUAGUUGCAAUAUUAUUUGUAAAAGUGAAACAUUAGAAACAACCUAAAUGCCCAUGCAUAGGAUACUGCAUGAAAACCCUGUGUAAAAAAGCUAUGAAAAGAAUGAGGAACAUCUCUGAAAGCAAGGUGCAAAAGAGCAUAUAUGGCACAGCAGUAACACAGUAUGCUACCUUUUGUGUAACAAUGGAAAUAAGAAUAUAUAUAAUAGGUACAUGCUUAUAUCUGCAAUAAUGAGCACACCUAAAUUAAGCCAAAAGCUAAUGAUACAGGUAAUUCCCUGGCUGUCCAGAGGUCAGGACUCGGCGCUCUCACUGCCAAGGGCCCAGGUCCGAUCCCUGGUUGGGGAACUAAGAUCCCACAUGCCAUGUGGCAUGGCCAAAAAAAUAACAUAACAUAACAUAACAUAAAACAUCCCAACAAGAAACCUAUUUAAAAAAAAAAAAAAAAAAAGCUAAUGACAGUGGAAAGGCAGGAAAGGGAAUGGGACCUCUGAGCAAAACCUGAAGGGUUUUAUUAUUCAUUUCUUUUCUUACCUAAAUCAAAUAUCAUUAUUGUGAUUAUUAAAUUCUGAACCAUGUUAAUGUUUUAUACAUUUCAAAAAUAAAAUUAAAUCUGGAUGGGGGAGGGAAAUAAAAUUGAAUACAACAGAAAUACAUA
Physeter macrocephalus (sperm whale) is the source of this 2786-nucleotide RNA transcript. It is a transcript of the gene named ring finger protein, transmembrane 1, with no coding region annotated. The transcript is spliced from 10 exons. NCBI's taxonomy places the organism in Eukaryota, Metazoa, Chordata, Mammalia, Artiodactyla, Physeteridae. The record is from RefSeq and is a predicted model, not a curated record.